This is a long non-coding RNA of Lepus europaeus (European hare), 184 nucleotides long. RefSeq lists it as uncharacterized. The transcript is spliced from 3 exons. NCBI's taxonomy places the organism in Eukaryota, Metazoa, Chordata, Mammalia, Lagomorpha, Leporidae. The record is from RefSeq and is a predicted model, not a curated record.
GGUGAUUUAAUGCUACCCUGGAGUGUGCACCAGUGUAAGGUGCUGUAAUGCUACCGCUGCUGUUGACACAAUACCAGAAAUGGAACCAUCUCUUCAUAUCUGGUGCUUUGGAACAACAGUAAUCGACCCUAUAAAGCAGAGCUGCAAAACUCACAUCUAGUAGGGGGCCGCCCAACUCUCUGAA